RNAcentral lists this ribosomal RNA (497 nucleotides) under uncultured bacterium. Its description in RNAcentral is "partial 16S ribosomal RNA". It matches the Rfam family "Bacterial small subunit ribosomal RNA", at positions 28 to 507 of the family's 1533-position model. The record is from RNAcentral.
GAUGAACGCUGGCGGCGUGCCUAAUACAUGCAAGUCGAGCGAACAGACGAGGAGCUUGCUCCUCUGACGUUAGCGGCGGACGGGUGAGUAACACGUGGAUAACCUACCUAUAAGACUGGGAUAACUUCGGGAAACCGGAGCUAAUACCGGAUAAUAUAUUGAACCGCAUGGUUCAAUAGUGAAAGACGGUUUUGCUGUCACUUAUAGAUGGAUCCGCGCCGCAUUAGCUAGUUGGUAAGGUAACGGCUUACCAAGGCGACGAUGCGUAGCCGACCUGAGAGGGUGAUCGGCCACACUGGAGCUGAGACACGGUCCAGACUCCUACGGGAGGCAGCAGUAGGGAAUCUUCCGCAGUGGGCGAAAGCCUGACGGAGCAACGCCGCGUGAGUGAUGAAGGUCUUCGGAUCGUAAAACUCUGUUAUUAGGGAAGAACAAAUGUGUAAGUAACUAUGCACGUCUUGACGGUACCUAAUCUGAAAGCCACGGCUAACUACGUG